AGUGAACGCUGGCGGUAGGCCUAACACAUGCAAGUCGAACGGCAGCACAGUAAGAGCUUGCUCUUACGGGUGGCGAGUGGCGGACGGGUGAGGAAUACAUCGGAAUCUACUUUUUCGUGGGGGAUAACGUAGGGAAACUUACGCUAAUACCGCAUACGACCUACGGGUUAAAGCAGGGGAUCUUCGGACCUUGCGCGAUUGAAUGAGCCGAUGUCGGAUUAGCUAGUUGGCGGGGUAAAGGCCCACCAAGGCGACGAUCCGUAGCUGGUCUGAGAGGAUGAUCAGCCACACUGGAACUGAGACACGGUCCAGACUCCUACGGGAGGCAGCAGUGGGGAAUAUUGGACAAAGGGCGCAAGCCUGAUCCAGCCAUACCGCGUGGGUGAAGAAGGCCUUCGGGUUGUAAAGCCCUUUUGUUGGGAAAGAAAAGCAGCAGGUUAAUACCCCGCUGUUCUGACGGUACCCAAAGAAUAAGCACCGGCUAACUUCGUG
RNAcentral lists this ribosomal RNA (492 nucleotides) under uncultured bacterium. RNAcentral describes it as "partial 16S ribosomal RNA". It matches the Rfam family "Bacterial small subunit ribosomal RNA", at positions 29 to 507 of the family's 1533-position model. The record is from RNAcentral.